UAGCCUAGUGGUUAAGGCUAUGGAUCGCCAACCCGGAGACGGCGGGUUCGACUCCCGC
This is a non-coding RNA of Aedes albopictus (Asian tiger mosquito), 58 nucleotides long. Lineage: Eukaryota; Metazoa; Arthropoda; Insecta; Diptera; Culicidae. The record is from Rfam.